UACGGGGGGGGCAAGCGUUGUUCGGAAUUACUGGGCGUAAAGGGCUCGUAGGUGGCCAACUAAGUCAGACGUGAAAUCCCUCGGCUUAACCGGGGAACUGCGUCGGAUACUGGAUGGCUUGAAUUCGGGAGAGGGAUGCAGAAUUCCCGGUGUAGCGGUGAAAUGCGCAGAUAUCGGGAAGAACACCCGUGGCGAAGGCGGCUCUCUGGGACGGUACUGACGCUGAGACGCGAAAGCGUGGGGAGCGAACAGG
This 253-nucleotide ribosomal RNA is filed under the name uncultured bacterium. RNAcentral describes it as "partial 16S ribosomal RNA". It matches the Rfam family "Bacterial small subunit ribosomal RNA", at positions 524 to 776 of the family's 1533-position model. The record is from RNAcentral.